This 242-nucleotide long non-coding RNA is filed under the name Elaeis guineensis (African oil palm). RNAcentral describes it as "long non-coding RNA (EGUI_LNC059062)". Lineage: Eukaryota; Viridiplantae; Streptophyta; Magnoliopsida; Arecales; Arecaceae. The record is from RNAcentral.
AGGAGGUCACAAGAGGAGUCAGGGUGUUGGCUUCAGGAGACUAGGAUAGGUGUGGUCCUAGUACUAGCACAGGAGUGAUCCUAGGAUGGAGGCAUCCACGGGCUUGAGGUUUAAAUGUUGAGGGCCUUGAGGGACUUGGUUGGUGCUCCAGAGGCUUGGGGACACAAAGUGGAGUAAGAAACUAGAGUCAAGGCUGAAGACUGUACAGAAGAAGCAGUUUCAAGGGUCUAGGUCGACUCAGA